Molecule: small RNA, 77 nt
Filed under: Arabidopsis thaliana (thale cress)
Lineage: Eukaryota; Viridiplantae; Streptophyta; Magnoliopsida; Brassicales; Brassicaceae
Description: ATSL058890
Source: RNAcentral
AUAUAUAUAUAUAUACAUAACCAUUCCAAGGCAUAACAAUCUAAAAUCUAUCCCGGAUAAAUUUUUGUUAGAUUUUU